Molecule: ribosomal RNA, 353 nt
Filed under: uncultured bacterium
Lineage: Bacteria
Description: bacterial SSU rRNA
Rfam family: Bacterial small subunit ribosomal RNA
Source: RNAcentral
AACGAACGCUGGCGGCAUGCCUAACACAUGCAAGUCGAACGAGACCUUCGGGUCUAGUGGCGCACGGGUGCGUAACGCGUGGGAACCUGCCUUUAGGUUCGGAAUAACAGUGAGAAAUUACUGCUAAUACCGGAUGAUGUCUUCGGACCAAAGAUUUAUCGCCUUUAGAUGGGCCCGCGUUGGAUUAGCUAGUUGGUGGGUAAAGGCCUACCAAGGCGACGAUCCAUAGCUGGUCUGAGAGGAUGAUCAGCCACACUGGGACUGAGACACGGCCCAGACUCCUACGGGAGGCAGCAGUGGGGAAUAUUGCACAAUGGCGCAAGCCUGAUGCAGCAACGCCGCGUGAGGGAUGA